UCGUGCUAGGCGGGGAGGUAGCGGUGCCCUGUACCUGCAAUCCGCUAUAGCAGGGUUGAAUUCCUGUCACAGGCUUAUUUCUGUUAGGUCUGCCCUCUUUAAGUGGUGAUGAAAAUCGGGUCCUGCGCAAUGGAAAUCUAUGAACCCCGUCAGGUUCGGAAGGAAGCAGCGGUAAGUAGUCAAUUCCGUGUGCCGUAGGAUUGCCUGGUUAGAGCUAACUGUGGAGGUAACGCUUGUAGUAAUCUGUCGAAGAUGGGUGCACGG
Molecule: signal recognition particle RNA, 264 nt
Filed under: Clostridiaceae bacterium
Lineage: Bacteria; Bacillati; Bacillota; Clostridia; Eubacteriales; Clostridiaceae
Description: signal recognition particle sRNA large type
Rfam family: Bacterial large signal recognition particle RNA
About the family: The signal recognition particle (SRP) is a universally conserved ribonucleoprotein involved in the co-translational targeting of proteins to membranes. Archaeal SRP consists of a 7S RNA and homologues of the eukaryotic SRP19 and SRP54 proteins.
Source: RNAcentral